AUUGAACGCUGGCGGCAGGCCUAACACAUGCAAGUCGAACGGUAACAGGAAGCAGCUUGCUGCUUUGCGGACGAGUGGCGGACGGGUGAGAAUUGUCUGGGAAACUGCCCGAUGGAGGGGGAUAACUACUGGAAACGGUAGCUAAUACCGCAUAACGUCUCAAGCCCAAAGAGGGGGACCUUAGGGCCUCUUGCCAUCGGAUGUGCCCAGAUGGCAGUAGCUAGUAGGUGGGGUAACGGCUCACCUAGGCGACGAUCCCUAGCUGGUCUGAGAGGAUGAACAGCCACACUGGAACUGAGACACGGUCCAGACUCCUACGGGAGGCAGCAGUGGGGAAUAUUGCACAAUGGGCGCAAGCCUGAUGCAGCCAUGCCGCGUGUAUGAAGAAGGCCUUCGGGUUGUAAAGUACUUUCAGCGGGGAGGAAGGGAGUAAAGUUAAUACAUUUGCUCAUUGACGUUACCCGCAGAAGAAGCACCGGCUAACUCCGUG
Molecule: ribosomal RNA, 490 nt
Filed under: uncultured bacterium
Lineage: Bacteria
Description: partial 16S ribosomal RNA
Rfam family: Bacterial small subunit ribosomal RNA
Source: RNAcentral